CCUUCGUGAUGACACCCGCACACGUCUUACGCCUUGUGUCAAUGCCAGAACCUGAAAAGGUGAACCCACUGGUGUUACCUUGGCAAUAAGGGGAAGACCCGUUGGGGUUACCAACAGUCUGAAUGGA
Morone saxatilis (striped sea-bass) is the source of this 127-nucleotide small nucleolar RNA. RefSeq annotates it as small nucleolar RNA SNORD22. The transcript has a single exon. The record is from RefSeq and is a predicted model, not a curated record. NCBI's taxonomy places the organism in Eukaryota, Metazoa, Chordata, Actinopteri, Moronidae.